UUACACAUGCAAGUCGAACGGCAGCACGGGAGCUUGCUCCUGGUGGCGAGUGGCGAACGGGUGAGUAAUAUAUCGGAACGUGCCCUAGAGUGGGGGAUAACUAGUCGAAAGAUUAGCUAAUACCGCAUACGAUCUACGGAUGAAAGUGGGGGAUCGCAAGACCUCAUGCUCAUGGAGCGGCCGAUAUCUGAUUAGCUAGUUGGUGGGGUAAAAGCUCACCAAGGCGACGAUCAGUAGCUGGUCUGAGAGGACGACCAGCCACACUGGAACUGAGACACGGUCCAGACUCCUACGGGAGGCAGCAGUGGGGAAUUUUGGACAAUGGGCGCAAGCCUGAUCCAGCAAUGCCGCGUGAGUGAAGAAGGCCUUCGGGUUGUAAAGCUCUUUUGUCAGGGAAGAAACGGUCUUGGUUAAUACCUGGGGCUAAUGACGGUACGGUACCUGCAGAAA
Molecule: ribosomal RNA, 450 nt
Filed under: bacterium Ellin7537
Lineage: Bacteria
Description: bacterial SSU rRNA
Rfam family: Bacterial small subunit ribosomal RNA
Source: RNAcentral